GUGCCAGCAGCCGCGGUAAUACAGAGGUCCCAAGCGUUGUUCGGAUUCACUGGGCGUAAAGGGUGCGUAGGUGGCUACUUUAAGUUUGAUGUGAAAGCUCCGGGCUCAACCCGGAAAUGGCAUUGAAGACUAUUGAGCUAGAGGUUUGGAGGGGGGACUGGAAUACUUGGUGUAGCAGUGAAAUGCGUAGAUAUCAAGUGGAACACCAGUGGCGAAGGCGAGUCCCUGGACAACACCUGACACUGAGGCACGAAAGCUAGGGGAGCAAACAGGAUUAGAUACCCUGGUAGUCC
This 293-nucleotide ribosomal RNA is filed under the name uncultured bacterium. RNAcentral's name for it is "partial 16S ribosomal RNA". It matches the Rfam family "Bacterial small subunit ribosomal RNA", at positions 505 to 796 of the family's 1533-position model. The record is from RNAcentral.